GGGCCCGUAGCUCAGCUGGUCAGAGCAGCGGACUCAUAAUCCGUUGGUCCCUGGUUCGAAUCCAGGCGGGCCCACUA
This 77-nucleotide transfer RNA is filed under the name Actinomycetes bacterium. RNAcentral describes it as "Actinobacteria bacterium tRNA-Met". It matches the Rfam family "tRNA". From Rfam's summary of the family: Transfer RNA (tRNA) molecules are approximately 80 nucleotides in length. Their secondary structure includes four short double-helical elements and three loops (D, anti-codon, and T loops). The record is from RNAcentral. Lineage: Bacteria; Bacillati; Actinomycetota; Actinomycetes.